AGAGUUUGAUCAUGGCUCAGGACGAACGCUGGCGGCGUGCUUAACACAUGCAAGUCGAACGAGGAUAUAUUGAACGGAGGGCUUCGGUCCAAAGGGAGGUAUAUUCGAGUGGCGGACGGGUGAGUAACGCGUGAGCAACCUGUCCCAGACAGGGGGAUAACACUUGGAAACAGGUGCUAAUACCGCAUAAGACCACGUCCUCACAUGGGGAUGAGGUAAAAGGAGCAAUCCGGUUUGGGGUGGGCUCGCGUCCGAUUAGAUAGUUGGUGAGGUAACGGCCCACCAAGUCGACGAUCGGUAGCCGACCUGAGAGGGUGAUCGGCCACAUUGGAACUGAGAGACGGUCCAAACUCCUACGGGAGGCAGCAGUGGGGAAUAUUGGGCAAUGGGCGAAAAAGCCUGACCCAGCAACGCCGCGUGAGUGAAGAAGGCUUUCGGGUUGUAAAGCUCUGUUAUAGGGGACGAAGGAAGUGACGGUACCCUAUAAGGAAGCCCCGGCUAACUACGUGCCAGCCGCCGC
RNAcentral lists this ribosomal RNA (520 nucleotides) under uncultured bacterium. RNAcentral's name for it is "bacterial SSU rRNA". It matches the Rfam family "Bacterial small subunit ribosomal RNA", at positions 8 to 518 of the family's 1533-position model. The record is from RNAcentral.